This 1732-nucleotide ribosomal RNA is filed under the name Dixa sp. Dix1. RNAcentral describes it as "bacterial LSU rRNA". It matches the Rfam family "Bacterial large subunit ribosomal RNA", at positions 1144 to 2856 of the family's 2925-position model. The record is from RNAcentral. Lineage: Eukaryota; Metazoa; Arthropoda; Insecta; Diptera; Dixidae.
ACUAGUCGAGUCGGCCUGCGCGGAAGAUGUAACGGGGCUCAAACCAUACACCGAAGCUACGGGUGCAUCGCAAGAUGCGCGGUAGAGGAGCGUUCUGUAAGCCUGUGAAGGUAAGUUGAGAAGCUUGCUGGAGGUAUCAGAAGUGCGAAUGCUGACAUGAGUAACGACAAUGGGAGUGAAAAACUCCCACGCCGAAAGACCAAGGUUUCCUGCGCCACGUUAAUCGACGCAGGGUGAGUCGGCCCCUAAGGCGAGAGCGAAAGCUGUAGUCGAUGGGAAACGGGUUAAUAUUCCCGUACUUCUAAUUACUGCGAUGGGGGGACGGAGAAGGCUAGGCCAGCAAGGCGUUGGUUGUCCUUGUUUAAGGUAGUAGGCUGAAAUCUUAGGUAAAUCCGGGGUUUUAAGGCUGAGAACUGAUGACGAGCAUUCCUUAGGGAUGCGAAGUGGUUGAUGCCAUGCUUCCAAGAAAAGCCUCUAAGCUUCAGGUAAUUAGGAACCGUACCCCAAACCGACACAGGUGGUUGGGUAGAGAAUACCAAGGCGCUUGAGAGAACUCGGGUGAAGGAACUAGGCAAAAUGGCACCGUAACUUCGGGAGAAGGUGCGCCGGUGAGGGUUAAGGGUAUACCCCGUAAGCUCUUGCUGGUCGAAGAUACCAGGCCGCUGCGACUGUUUAUUAAAAACACAGCACUCUGCAAACACGAAAGUGGACGUAUAGGGUGUGACGCCUGCCCGGUGCUGGAAGGUUAAUUGAUGGGGUUAGGGUUAAACCGAAGCUCUUGAUCGAAGCCCCAGUAAACGGCGGCCGUAACUAUAACGGUCCUAAGGUAGCGAAAUUCCUUGUCGGGUAAGUUCCGACCUGCACGAAUGGCGUAACGAUGGCGGCGCUGUCUCCACCCGAGACUCAGUGAAAUUGAAAUCGCUGUGAAGAUGCAGUGUAUCCGCGGCUAGACGGAAAGACCCCGUGAACCUUUACUGUAGCUUUGCACUGGACUUUGAGCUUGCUUGUGUAGGAUAGGUGGGAGGCUAUGAAGCGUAGACGUCAGUUUGCGUGGAGCCAUCCUUGAAAUACCACCCUGGCAAUCUUGAGGUUCUAACUCAGGUCCGUUAUCCGGAUCGAGGACAGUGUAUGGUGGGCAGUUUGACUGGGGCGGUCUCCUCCUAAAGAGUAACGGAGGAGUACGAAGGUGCGCUCAGACCGGUCGGAAAUCGGUCGUAGAGUAUAAAGGCAAAAGCGCGCUUGACUGCGAGACUCACACGUCGAGCAGGUACGAAAGUAGGUCUUAGUGAUCCGGUGGUUCUGUAUGGAAGGGCCAUCGCUCAACGGAUAAAAGGUACUCCGGGGAUAACAGGCUGAUACCGCCCAAGAGUUCAUAUCGACGGCGGUGUUUGGCACCUCGAUGUCGGCUCAUCACAUCCUGGGGCUGAAGCCGGUCCCAAGGGUAUGGCUGUUCGCCAUUUAAAGUGGUACGCGAGCUGGGUUUAGAACGUCGUGAGACAGUUCGGUCCCUAUCUGCCGUGGACGUUUGAGAUUUGAGAGGGGCUGCUCCUAGUACGAGAGGACCGGAGUGGACGAACCUCUGGUGUUCCGGUUGUCACGCCAGUGGCAUUGCCGGGUAGCUAUGUUCGGAAGAGAUAACCGCUGAAAGCAUCUAAGUGGGAAACUUGCCUCAAGAUGAGAUCUCACUGGGAACUAGAUUCCCCUAAAGGGUCGUCGAAGACUACGACGUUGA